Molecule: microRNA, 22 nt
Filed under: Lepisosteus oculatus (spotted gar)
Lineage: Eukaryota; Metazoa; Chordata; Actinopteri; Semionotiformes; Lepisosteidae
Description: Loc-Mir-430-o31_3p (mature (guide))
Source: RNAcentral
UAAGUGCUUAGUUUUGGAGUAG